RNAcentral lists this ribosomal RNA (298 nucleotides) under uncultured bacterium. RNAcentral describes it as "partial 16S ribosomal RNA". It matches the Rfam family "Bacterial small subunit ribosomal RNA", at positions 333 to 648 of the family's 1533-position model. The record is from RNAcentral.
AGGGGCCUACGGGGGGCAGCAGUGGGGAAUAUUGCACAAUGGGGGAAACCCUGAUGCAGCGACGCCGCGUGAGUGAGGAAGUAUUUCGGUAUGUAAAGCUCUAUCAGCAGGGAAGAAAAUGACGGUACCUGACUAAGAAGCCCCGGCUAACUACGUGCCAGCAGCCGCGGUAAUACGUAGGGGGCAAGCGUUAUCCGGAUUUACUGGGUGUAAAGGGAGCGUAGACGGAGGAGCAAGUCUGAUGUGAAAAUCCGGUGCCCAACCCCGGAACUGCACUGGAGACUGUUUAUCUAGAGUG